RNAcentral lists this ribosomal RNA (254 nucleotides) under uncultured bacterium. RNAcentral describes it as "partial 16S ribosomal RNA". It matches the Rfam family "Bacterial small subunit ribosomal RNA", at positions 524 to 773 of the family's 1533-position model. The record is from RNAcentral.
UACGUAGGGUGCGAGCGUUAAUCGGAAUUACUGGGCGUAAAGCGUGCGCAGGCGGUUUUGUAAGCCAGAUGUGAAAUCCCCGGGCUUAACCUGGGAAUGGCAUUUGGGGACUGCAAGGCUUGAGUUUGGCAGAGGAGACUGGAAUUCCUGGUGUAGCAGUGAAAUGCGUAGAUAUCGAGGAGGAAUACGAUGGCGAAGGCAGGUCUCUGGGACUAGAACUGGACGCUCAUGCACGAAAGGCGUGGGGAGCAAAC